This 211-nucleotide long non-coding RNA is filed under the name Elaeis guineensis (African oil palm). Its description in RNAcentral is "long non-coding RNA (EGUI_LNC043342)". Lineage: Eukaryota; Viridiplantae; Streptophyta; Magnoliopsida; Arecales; Arecaceae. The record is from RNAcentral.
AAUAAAAAAUAAUGGACCCAUUAUCAUUCACCUUAAUGGGAGGCUAUGAUCUAGUUAUCCCCAUAACUAGCUCAUUUUAGGGACCUAAUAAUUUAGAAGAUUUAAUUUAUGAGUUAAGAGAAGAGAAGAGAUUAACCAGUAAACCACAAUCCUCCCACUGACUUUAUCAAGUCACUUAAUUAGAUUAGGGUCAUGCUGAUCGAACUGGCAC